Mesocricetus auratus (golden hamster) is the source of this 885-nucleotide long non-coding RNA. RefSeq lists it as uncharacterized. The transcript has 2 exons. The record is from RefSeq and is a predicted model, not a curated record. Lineage: Eukaryota; Metazoa; Chordata; Mammalia; Rodentia; Cricetidae.
CUGACGGCAGCACACACAGCUGCUAAACUGGAGAGGCGUAGAUGUAGAACUUCGGUCAGCCCUCUGUUGGCCCGCGUGAGGACGUAAAUCACUGACGAAUUCCCUGCAGUUGGGACCAUUCUUUCAAACGUGCACAUCAACAAAGAUCUCACAUCUCGGGAGGAGGGCAGAGCGGAGACGGAGGAGUCUUGAGGGUGAGAGCUGGGAAGGAGGUUGAGGCUACCUCGGAUGACACAGACUACGCUUGAGGGAAGGGUGUGCACCUAAGUCCUUCAGGGAUUUCAGUCAACCACAGGGGCAGCCAGGCUAAAAUGGCUGUCAUGGCAGGAGCACGGUGCAGGACAGCUGUUCACAUUCUAACAGACCAGGAAGAAGAAUAGUGUCAUCUUCAAAGGCUUGCACGGGCGACAUCACCCUACUGGAGGACCCACCCCUUCAGGGCACAACUGGAGAUCUGGGAGCUCAACCAGACUUAAGCCCGUGGGGCCAUCGCAGAUCCAAAGCCUGGAGUGAACACAAAAGGAGGCAGAGGCCAGCGCAGAGCAAAGGCUGAGAUGAAAACCUUUCUGGUUUGCUAAUGAGACGGGACAUGCUGAUGGGGGAUGUCCUACAUGCUGUGAACAUGGGUUUCUCUGAUUGGUUGAUGAAUAAGUGCUCGUUGGCCAGUAGCCAGGUUGGAAGGAUAGGCAGGGCUACAACUCUAGAAGAAUUCUGGGAAUAGGAAGGCAGAGAUGUCAUGUAGCUAUUGGGAAGAUGGGACACCGGGCAUUCUCCAGUAAAAUAAGGCCAUGCCAAAAUAUAUAGGUUAAUAGUUAUGGAUUAAUAAUUAAAGACAGAGCUAGCCAAUAAGAAGCCGGAGCCAUUGGCCAAACAGUUUAUAAUUGA